This is a long non-coding RNA of Culex quinquefasciatus (southern house mosquito), 587 nucleotides long. RefSeq lists it as uncharacterized. The transcript is spliced from 3 exons. NCBI's taxonomy places the organism in Eukaryota, Metazoa, Arthropoda, Insecta, Diptera, Culicidae. The record is from RefSeq and is a predicted model, not a curated record.
CACGGCACCAACAUCGAAGCAACCCAACACGAAGAGAGGUUGAAAGCAUAACAGGGGUACACUCUUCGAUGCUGGUGGCGCAGCAGCAUGCCAUGGAAUGUUGGAUGUCGGUGUCUCGCAGUUUGUCGGUGGCAUUUUGGUGGACAUGGCAUGUUGGGAGUGAUUUGGGUUAAGCAUCACGAUCCCUUCCAGAUGAAAACCUAUCCACCCGGAACUGGGUCGCGUGCCGUCGGAAAGCAUUUCUCAUGUUUUGCCAACACGCAGCCGCCUUCCGGCGCACGUUCGCCAUUAUAUCCGUGGAUAAUUUCUCCAUAAAGUUGGCCACAAACUAACUGACUGACGUCGGCUGCACGAAAGAUUAAUGGUCAAUUCAUGAAGAUGGAAUUAACUUCCUUGGAUGUUUAUUGCAUGAGAGAUUAGUUUAAAAAAGGAGAAGAUAAAACACUUUGAACAUUUUGCUGUGAAAAAGGUCCAGAACUUUUCAAGGCUACCUUGAUGCAAUGCAGACAACAGAAGAAUUGUUCAAUAAAACAUCCAAAUAUAACAUAAUUAGCCCAUAAUUGAUACCAGCCAGAUGGCCCACUCCA